UUCACGUUUCCCAUGGUGUUUGCUGUUGAU
RNAcentral lists this non-coding RNA (30 nucleotides) under Rattus norvegicus (Norway rat). The record is from RNAcentral. Lineage: Eukaryota; Metazoa; Chordata; Mammalia; Rodentia; Muridae.